UUUUUCAUCUUUUCACUUUAAAAAAAAUUACAUUAAGGCCCCCUACCCUCUUUCCUUCUUCCUCCCCACGACACUACCCCUCCUCCUCCUCCCUACGCCCAUUUCCGCCGCCUGCCAUCUCCUCCAGUCACCGCAGACUUUUUCUUCCCCUCCUGUCGCCUUCUCCCUCUUCCUUUUUUGCUGUCACCGUCGAGCUUGAAGGAGGAAAGCUCGCUUCCUUGCUGUCGCUGCCGAAACAACCACCUGCUGCCGUAUUUCUGCCGAUUUGACGCUGGAUUUGAGUUCUACACCCUUCAAAACCUGUAGGCAGCUCCUCCUCACUGUUGAUCAGCCAUUUUCCAGCUCCUUCGAGCCUCACCAAAGCUGAAACUUUCCGGCCUCAAUUCGGUGGCUUCCAGUGAGUUUUAGGCCAAGAAAUCUAUAUUUUUUAACUCCCCGCAACUCAAGCUUUGCGGAAGCAUUUCCAUAUUUGAAAUCUGACACCGUUAGCGGUAACGACUUUCGGAUCCCGGUGUUUCCGGUGUUUUCUAAAGAUAACCCGUCAAUCCAGCCAACACACCCGAUGCGUAGGAGCAGACAGCUAAACUCGGCAGAACUGUGACAACUAAGUUCUUCGCUGACUUUCUCUUGGCAGCCUGACUUAUUUCCCUUUCGGGCUUAUUGUAAUUAAACUCUACCUUUUGUAUUUCGAAUUAUUUGAAAUUCUAGACUCUUUACAGUAGUGGAUUUGAAACUUUACAUCUUAUUUUGAUCGGUUAAAAGCUAUGGAAAAAUUAUUAAGUACUCAAGCUGAUGGAUUAAUUUAA
Molecule: long non-coding RNA, 806 nt
Organism: Ricinus communis (castor bean)
Lineage: Eukaryota; Viridiplantae; Streptophyta; Magnoliopsida; Malpighiales; Euphorbiaceae
Exons: 3
Source: RefSeq, a predicted model, not a curated record